Molecule: ribosomal RNA, 828 nt
Filed under: uncultured bacterium
Lineage: Bacteria
Description: bacterial SSU rRNA
Rfam family: Bacterial small subunit ribosomal RNA
Source: RNAcentral
AGAGUUUGAUCCCGGCUCAGGAUGAACGCUAGCGGGAGGCUUAACACAUGCAAGUCGAGGGGUAACAUGAGAUAGCAAUAUUUUGAUGACGACCGGCGUACGGGUGAGUAACACGUAUACAACCUACCCUGUACAGGGGGAUAGCCCGGAGAAAUUCGGAUUAAUACCCCAUAAAGACAUAAAAAGGCAUCUUUUUAUAUUUAAAGUUUCGGUGGUACGGGAUGGGCAUGCGCAACAUUAGCUAGUUGGUAGGGUAACGGCCUACCAAGGCAACGAUGUUUAGGGGACCUGAGAGGGUGAUCCCCCACACUGGUACUGAGACACGGACCAGACUCCUACGGGAGGCAGCAGUGAGGAAUAUUGGUCAAUGGGCGCAAGCCUGAACCAGCCAUCCCGCGUGCAGGAAGACGGCGCUAUGCGUUGUAAACUGCUUUUCCAGGGGAAGAAAACCCCCGACGUGUCGGGGCUUGCCGGUACCCUGGGAAUAAGCAUCGGCUAACUCCGUGCCAGCAGCCGCGGUAAUACGGAGGAUGCGAGCGUUAUCCGGAUUUAUUGGGUUUAAAGGGUGCGUAGGCGGAUAAAUAAGUCAGUGGUGAAAACCUGCAGCUUAACUGUAGAAUUGCCAUUGAUACUGUUAGUCUUGAGUACGGUCAAGGUAGGCGGAAUGUGUAAUGUAGCGGUGAAAUGCUUAGAUAUUACACAGAACACCGAUUGCGAAGGCAGCUUACUGGGCCAUUACUGACGCUGAUGCACGAAAGCGUGGGGAGCGAACAGGAUUAGAUACCCUGGUAGUCCACGCCGUAAACGAUGAUCACUCGCUGUUAGCGA